RNAcentral lists this transfer RNA (75 nucleotides) under Cnemaspis chanthaburiensis. RNAcentral describes it as "tRNA-Asn". The record is from RNAcentral. Lineage: Eukaryota; Metazoa; Chordata; Lepidosauria; Squamata; Gekkonidae.
UAGGCCAAAGUCCGCUGGUUUGGAUAACUAGUUGUUAAUUAGUAUUGUUCGCGGGAUCAAGGCCCGUUGGUCUAG